RNAcentral lists this long non-coding RNA (1039 nucleotides) under Monodelphis domestica (gray short-tailed opossum). Its description in RNAcentral is "lncRNA (ENSMODG00000045892.1)". Lineage: Eukaryota; Metazoa; Chordata; Mammalia; Didelphimorphia; Didelphidae. The record is from RNAcentral.
GGGAGGUCUGUGACUCAUGUGUGUGAUAGAGAAUGACGAAUCAGAAUUGACUAACUGACUUCUGGGCAGUCCUAGAGCAGAGGGUCAACUGUGAUUGGUAGACAUAAAAUUAGGGGAAGACACAGGAAGUGACUCAAAGGAAACGUCUUUAAAAGGAGCUGUUUCUUCCUGUGAGAAGAGAAUUCUUCAUUCCUUGGAGUGCCGACCAGACUUGAGACCCUGUUUCAUGGUAAUGCUGAUAAAGAAUCUACUAACUGGACUGACACAUGCAUUCCUUCUAUCUUUACUCUGGAAAUGAAGAGAGAUUGGUAAAUUGCCUUUAAUUGGUAAUUAGCAGCUUCCUGCCAAAAGCCCAAGGCAUUUGAUUAACUAGACUAUGGUCUUCAUUGGAAAGAAAUCAUUUGCUGAGCACUGAAUUGUGCAUGAUACUAUUUUAGAUUGACCAGUACUUUGGUGGGUGCUGAGGAGAGAAUGAGUCUUGCGUCUAGACUGCCGCCAUACCCGGAAGUCCUCCUGGAUGUAUUCUUAAUCUAUCUUUCUCUUCACAAAUCAACUGAUCAGAUGUCAUCUAAUCCAACCCAUUCAUUUUUACAUAUGGAGAAAUGGAUUCUGAGAGAUGUGAGGUGUUUGUCCAAGGAUGUAGAGGAAACAUCAGCCUUGGCCUGGACUUUAGUCAUUAAAUACAUUUAUGCAUACAGAGAGGAAGAUUUAUCCCAUCAACUACAUACUGUACUUAAAAGUUGUGUGGCAUGAAACAAUAUCGAAUUUGCUUUUGUCAUUUUACUUUUGUAUAUUUUAGAAGCAGUGUAUUGUAUUAGAAGCAGUGUAUUGUAUCAGAAAGAGCAGUAUUCUUAGAGUAAGGAAGAUUUGAGCUUGAGUUCCAACUUUUACUAGUUGUGAGACCCUGGAUAAUUAACUUCUGUAAGUGGAAAGAAUUAUUAUUUGUUGUACAUGAUACAAUGUUUAUAGAAUACUACAUAUAUAUAAUACUACAUAAAAACUACAUAGUAGGUUCUUAAUAAAUGUUUGUUCUAGGGCA